CCCGCUGAACUUAAGCAUAUCAAUAAGCGGAGGAAAAGAAACUAACAAGGAUUCCCCUAGUAACUGCGAGUGAAGCGGGAAAAGCUCAAAUUUAAAAUCUGUCAGUCUUUGGCUGUCCGAGUUGUAAUCUAGAGAAGUGUUAUCCGCGCUGGACCGUGUACAAGUCUCCUGGAAUGGAGCGUCAUAGAGGGUGAGAAUCCCGUCUUUGACACGGACUGCCAGGGCUUUUGUGAUGCGCUCUCAAAGAGUCGAGUUGUUUGGGAAUGCAGCUCAAAAUGGGUGGUAAAUUCCAUCUAAAGCUAAAUAUUGGCGAGAGACCGAUAGCGAACAAGUACCGUGAGGGAAAGAUGAAAAGAACUUUGGAAAGAGAGUUAAACAGUACGUGAAAUUGCUGAAAGGGAAACGCUUGAAGUCAGUCGCGUCAUCCAGGGAUCAACCUUGCUUUUGCUUGGUGUACUUUCUGGUUGACGGGUCAGCAUCAAUUUUGACCAUUGGAAAAAGAUAAAGGGAAUGUGGCAUACAUAGUGAUGUGUUAUAGCCCUUGGUUGCAUACAAUGGUUGGGAUUGAGGAACUCAGCACGCCGCAAGGCCGGGUUUUUACUAACCACGUACGUGCUUAGGAUGUUGGCAUAAUGGCUUUAAUCGACCCGUCUUGAAACACGG
This 663-nucleotide ribosomal RNA is filed under the name uncultured fungus. RNAcentral describes it as "eukaryotic LSU rRNA". It matches the Rfam family "Eukaryotic large subunit ribosomal RNA", at positions 24 to 664 of the family's 3401-position model. Lineage: Eukaryota; Fungi. The record is from RNAcentral.